This 626-nucleotide ribosomal RNA is filed under the name uncultured fungus. RNAcentral's name for it is "LSU rRNA". It matches the Rfam family "Eukaryotic large subunit ribosomal RNA", at positions 23 to 664 of the family's 3401-position model. Lineage: Eukaryota; Fungi. The record is from RNAcentral.
ACCCGCUGAACUUAAGCAUAUCAAUAAGCGGAGGAAAAGAAACCAACAGGGAUUGCCUCAGUAACGGCGAGUGAAGCGGCAACAGCUCAAAUUUGAAAUCUGGCCCCCUCGGGGUCCGAGUUGUAAUUUGGAGAAGAUGCUUCGGGUGCGGCCCCGGUCUAAGUUCCUUGGAACAGGACGUCACAGAGGGUGAGAAUCCCGUACGUGCCCGGUGGUCGCCCCCGUGUGAAGCUCUUUCGACGAGUCGAGUUGUUUGGGAAUGCAGCUCUAAAUGGGUGGUAUAUUUCAUCUAAAGCUAAAUAUUGGCCAGAGACCGAUAGCGCACAAGUAGAGUGAUCGAAAGAUGAAAAGCACUUUGGAAAGAGAGUUAAACAGUACGUGAAAUUGUUGAAAGGGAAGCGCUUGCAACCAGACUUGCGCGCGGCCGAUCAUCCGGUGUUCGCACCGGUGCACUCGACCGCGCGCAGGCCAGCAUCGGUUUGGGUGGCUGGACAAAGGCCUCGGGAAUGUGGCUCCCCUCGGGGAGUGUUAUAGCCCGAGGUGCAAUGCAGCCUACCCGGACCGAGGACCGCGCUUCGGCUAGGAUGCUGGCGUAAUGGUUGUAAGCGACCCGUCUUGAAACACGG